This is a long non-coding RNA of Cicer arietinum (chickpea), 1095 nucleotides long. RefSeq lists it as uncharacterized. The record is from RefSeq and is a predicted model, not a curated record. Lineage: Eukaryota; Viridiplantae; Streptophyta; Magnoliopsida; Fabales; Fabaceae.
AUCAAAUAUCAGAAAUGGAGAGAGUAGUUACUUUUAUUUUCUAUUUUUGAGAGACCAGAAAGAGAAUCUCAGGGAGUACGAGUGGAAGUGCAAAGUCCCAUAAAUAAUAUGUAAAUGUCCCUAUCAAAUUUGACACAGUUUCGUUUCACGCUGAAGAUAAAAUUAAAACCAGAGGCAGUGAGUCAAUCUUAAGCAUUUAUAUAGCUCUAAUAAAAAUAUUAAUAUAUGGCUUAGAUGCUAAGCUGUUAAUUUGUCUUUAGGCAGUAAAUAGAGAAACAGAGCACAGAACAGAAGACAACAGUCCUGGGAUUCCGGACGUUAGACCAGAGAUGCCCAAGACCACUACUGAAAGCAGAUAUUCAGCUCUACUAUGUUUGACCACACAAACCACACUUCAAUUUCUUACUUUAUCACUUCCAUUACUAUCACCAUUUUUAUUAGUAUUCACUUCCAAUUUAAACCAACCUCAACCAUAAUUUCAGUAGUAACUCUUACCAACUCAACAUACAUAAAGGUAGAUUCCUUAUACAUACUCUUGAACUUGUCUCAAGGAAGAAUAAGUUAGGAAAAACAGAAACAAGACUAUGGAACCUUCUACAUCAUCAGAAAAGCAGGCACCAAAAGGUAGAGUUUUGAAGGAGAAAAGAGCAAAGUUUUACAUUAUUCGAAGAUGCAUAGUCAUGCUUCUCUGUUGGAAAGAUAAAGGAGACAAGUAAUACCGCUGUUCUGUUCUGCUUAAAGAUGACAAGAGAAGCACUGCAAGAUGACCAACCAGCCUACGAAUGUCAAAAGCAACGUAUAAAGAAGGCUUUUUCUUUCACCUAACCAGUGAAUGUGAAACUGUUGUUGAUCUACUAGGAUUCUUUUUUUCUUUCAGUAAGUUUAUAGUUUUUUAAUACAAAACCAAUACAUCUGUAAUAGUAGCUAUAGAGAAUGAAUCAGUGGUUUUACCCACAAACACAAGCACGGGCAAAGAAACAAGAAGGUAGAAGUGAAAGAUGAAACCUAGAACGAAAAGGAAAUAUAGACCACAGCUUAGCUCAAAUUACUCUCACAUUAUAUUCUCUAUACAUAUAACAUGUUGGCUUAUGGAGA